CUCCCGGCUGCCUGUCCUCCCGCAUGACUCGCCCCCUGCUCCGUCCAGGUGAGCAGCCCCAGCACGGAGGCGGAGGCCAAGUCUCCCUCGCUGGUGGGCCAGAGCCGAGGGCCCAGCCUCCAGCCACAAGGUGAGUGGCUCGGGCCUGCCAGGCGUCUGCAGACCGCUGAGCCUGGGGUCUGCAGAGCUGAAGCCUGGGCACUGCAGGACAGUUCCAUGCUUUCCUGCGUCUGUCUGGCGGACUCGAGGGCCCGGCCAUGCCUGUUGCUGAGCCCCCAGCCCAGCUGUUCACACAGCUCCGGGGGAGGGUCCUAUGGCCUGGCCGUGUAGAUGUGGGGAGGGGGCCCUCUGGAGAUGCCAGCCCGUCCCCAAGGUGGGAGCUCUCUCCUCAGGAGAACUUGCAGCUCUCAGGGGUGGAGAAGUCACAGCUCAACCUGUGGAUGAGCAGGGCCCAGGAGUCAGCACAGCAGGGCCCACAGAACCAGAAGACGCAGUAGGAGUCGGAAGCUGACAAGAGUCCCCAGUGUAGGAAGAAGCCAGAGCCCCCGCUGGGUGCCAAGGUGUGAGGAGCCAGUCUCAGGCCAGCAGCCGCGCUGGCUGCCUCUCCCGCCCACUGUCCACACUGGACCCGGGAGGAUGCUGGCCAGCUUCCUCGCCGCCCCUCUGGGGCAGGUGUGCCCCGUGCCGGUCCGGCUGCGGGCGCUGCGCGUCUGCACAGAGCCUCGCCACCCUGUCCACGUGGGCUCCUGCUCUUCCUCCUCCUCCGGGUCCGUCAGGUCGCACCAGUGUCUCCGUGCACCUCUCCCAGGCUGGCCCCCGCCGUCCUUGUGCUGCCUGCCAGGCUGGAGGAGCCAUGCUGACCUCUCCCAGGCCCUGCCUUGCUCCCCUUCACACCCCACCUGCUGUCCUGGCUAACCCAUCCUGUGCCCCU
Molecule: long non-coding RNA, 931 nt
Organism: Capra hircus (goat)
Lineage: Eukaryota; Metazoa; Chordata; Mammalia; Artiodactyla; Bovidae
Exons: 3
Source: RefSeq, a predicted model, not a curated record